Molecule: ribosomal RNA, 440 nt
Filed under: uncultured bacterium
Lineage: Bacteria
Description: bacterial SSU rRNA
Rfam family: Bacterial small subunit ribosomal RNA
Source: RNAcentral
CCUACGGGUGGCAGCAGUCGAGAAUUUUUCUCAAUGGGGGAAACCCUGAAGGAGCGACGCCGCGUGGGGGAUGAAGGGCUUCGGCCUGUAAACCCCUGUCAUUUGCGAACAAACCUUACGACCUAAUACGUCGUGAGCUGAUUGUAGCGAAAGAGGAAGGGACGGCUAACUCUGUGCCAGCAGCCGCGGUAAUACAGAGGUCCCAAGCGUUGUUCGGAUUCACUGGGCGUAAAGGGUGCGUAGGUGGUGAGGUAAGUCUGAUGUGAAAUCUCCGAGCUUAACUCGGAAAUGGCAUUGGAAACUACCCCGCUAGAGGGUUGGAGAGGUGACUGGAAUUCUUGGUGUAGCAGUGAAAUGCGUAGAUAUCAAGAGGAACACCAGUGGCGAAAGCGAGUCUCUGGACAACACCUGACACUGAGGCACGAAAGCUAGGGGAGCAA